AUGUCCCCACUGUGUGAUAAACACCUGUUAUUUUGACCUCUUGGGGACUAUUUUUUUCAGUCUCCAUUUGGAUAACCUCAAUUUUAUAAAAAUCUGUGAAUGCAAUCAAAAAACAAAACAUGUCUUGGAUUUUGCUUGGUUGCUUAUUGUGAAGGUAAAGGCUGGGUAAGGGUUAAGGGUGUCGUGAUUGGGAUUUUUCCCAUGGGAAAUUAAUGGAUGGUCCCCACAAAGAUAUGAAUACAGGUGUGCGUGUGUGUGUGUGUGUGUGCGUGUGAGAGAGAGAGAGAGAGAGAGACAGUGAGUGAGUGAGUGAGACUUACUGUCUCCCCUGCUGGCCCUCGGCUCACAUUGAAGGACAAGGAUCUCACACUGACUUGUUUCCCACAUGUAAGGGCUCUGCUGCCGCUGACAUCACGUGGAACCUGAGCGUCGCCUGCAGCUCCGGUGGCAGCCGCCUCUGUGACAUCACAGAGCGCCAAACGAACCCACUGCGGCCAUCUCACCUCACUGGCAUCUCCAUCCAGGCCUGGGAAGAGCCCCGGCACCCUGGGCCUGGUGCAGUUCCUUCUUAAACCUCACUGCGCCCCUGGAAAAGGCUGAAACAUGAAAAAAAAACACAGGCAUCAUCAGUUAAACACUGCAACUUCAUCCAUUUAAUGAUUCCUUCAUAUCCUUUAUAAUCCAGCUGAGACAAGGUCUCCCUUAUUGGACAUGUGAGGGCAAUUCAGAGACACCAUGCUUUCAUUACCAGGGAUAUUAUCUGGGCUUUUCAGCACAGUUUUAGCCCAGGAUUUACGCUGCUUAUUGUUCACUGUUCAGUACAGCUGGACAGAGUUCUUUACAUGCCAUGGAGGGCUCUGUUGAUGGCACAGACAAAUUAACUAUCUCUCUCAAUAUUCUUUCUUGCUCAGCUGGGACAGAAGAUGUAGAAUAACUGCUAGACUGUAAGGUAUUAUUCUUACGGUGUUAAUGUAGCAUUGUUUUGAGCUUGAGUCUGCUGGUACCAUGGGUAAUAUAGAGAGAGGUAUAAUGAAGAGCUCGUUCAAUUAAUGUGUUUUAAGAGCUGAAGUGUUGACACAGUUGCAUUUGAACAAUGCACAAAAAAAUAAGAAAACAGAGACAGGACAAUGCACUGGCCUGUCUUUAGUCUAGACUGGAGUCGUUUUGCCUGCCUCCCAUAUUUGGUAGUGUAGAUUCCAGCUCUCUGUUACUUAUUAUUAUUGUGAUGGUGUGGAAUGCAUUACAUUAAAUGUGAAUAAGAGCUGCAAAAAUAGCAGCAGCCAAAACCACAAAGAGCUAGAGCAUGCUUGGAUAUUUAGGUAAGUUGACCUAUACCAAUGCAUCGAGCCAAGCCCUGAAGUUCAAUCAGACUCUCUUCAGCCCAAAUGCACUUGAGCUAAAUGCUAAACCCUGCCAAUUUGUAAAGAGCUGGUGCAUCCAGAGACCCAGAAAGUGCUCUUUAGGGCAUGCCGUGCUGAGCAACGUCAUGCAUCAAGCAAAAGCGACAGAAUAGUAAAAAUAUGGAGGUCUUCUUUUGCCUGGAAUGUGCCUCGCUUCUGCCAUUAUUUCAUCCUUAGAGGUAAACAUAAAACAGAACCUAAUAAAAAAUAUUUUACUUUCUUUAGAUAAAUAUGCCUUGGCAAUAAACAUUAGCAGUGGAAACGGGAACAUUUUUCUUUCUUUACUCUCCCAAACACUGGCCAUUGCUUUAAAUGAAAACCAACUCUUUUUGAAUUUGACUUUUUUCACCCUAUGAUAUCAACCUGACUACCUGGUCACCAGCCCAGAGAAUCUGGAAAGAGUGAAUUGUGAUGCUGCACCUUCUAGGCCCAGUCAGUGGUUGUCUGAUUGGGAGUAUGAGGGUUUUGGGGCUGCGGAUGGAGAUUUAUACUGGCUUUUUCCACAUGCUUCCACCCUGCUUCCAAGACGUUGUUGGCAUAGGAGAUGAGGACCACAGGCGCUACUCCCCAGGUUAUCAUUUGUCAUAACACAGGACUAUUCUCCAGGUGAGAACCAUGGUCUUAACCAGAAUGACCCUGUGAAG
Molecule: non-coding RNA, 2044 nt
Organism: Paramormyrops kingsleyae
Lineage: Eukaryota; Metazoa; Chordata; Actinopteri; Osteoglossiformes; Mormyridae
Source: RefSeq, a predicted model, not a curated record